Molecule: long non-coding RNA, 7673 nt
Filed under: Daucus carota (carrot)
Lineage: Eukaryota; Viridiplantae; Streptophyta; Magnoliopsida; Apiales; Apiaceae
Description: long non-coding RNA (DCAR_LNC001212)
Source: RNAcentral
UAGCUUUCUGCUUCAAAAGCACAUCUCGCAUCUCAGCCGCAUCAACCUGAGAAGGCACACCUUCAGGCCUGUAGUAGCCCGUGACAGGGUCAGGUCCCCAAGACCUAUUCACCUGCGCCACCUCUUCUCCGCUUUUCUUCGACAUCAUGGCUCCACCGCUCCUCAUCACACUCCCGCUCGUCAACGCGUAUCCUCUCUUGCUCGCAACGCAUACUUGCUCCACAACGAAAGCAGAGAUCAAUUUAACGUUGCAUAGAGAUGCAGGCGCCAUCAAAGAAGUGCAAAUAAAUAGAAGACGAACUCGAAAAUGUGUUUCGGCUUCCUGAAUAUUUAAGAGAUAUUCAAGAAGUAGUAGUAGCUUAUUGUGAAUGGUUUAUGUUGAGUGUUGUGUGUGCGGGUAUAUAUAGAGUUUUGGAAAGCAGAGAAAGGCAGAGGAUCCUUCGUGAGUUAAAAACUCAGUAUGCGUUAUACGCGUUUAUUAGGUCGGCCAGCUGGAUUAUUGUGGUAAAAUGCAAGGUUAAUAAAGGGACAAGGGUUAUGUUUUGGAAGAGUCAGAGCCAUAGAAAGUGGACUAAGUAGUAAAGGGACAUUUGUCAUUUGAGGCUAUUGGAAGGGUCAUUUUUGGCUUUGGCCUUUGUUCAGUUGCCAACUUGCUUCCUCUAAUAUUUGAGACUAUUAGAUAUACAUUGCAUCUUUCAGUUUAAGAGUGUCGUGGGCCUUUGAUAUUUAGUAACGGUUCGGUUUAUUAAUUUUAUGAAAACAUUAUUUGAAAAGCGAGUAUCGGGAUUAAUUGAUUAUCGUACGGUGAUUAAUCAGAAUGAUAAGUCGGAACCUUAAUCAAGUAUAUUACAAUUAUGUGAUAAAAUUUAAUUUAUUAACUUUAUGAUAUUAAAUUUAGAAAAAUAUAUUAUGAUUAAUCGGAUUGAAAAAUUAUAUCAGUUGAAAAAUUAUAUCAGUAAAAUUAUUGUUAAUAAUUGAGUCACAAAUCGGACAGCAUAUAAUAAUAAUUGGGCAGCAUUCGUAUACGUACUGUCAUUGUGUAUUCAAUUAUUGCACCCUUCACCCAGCAUAUCUUUUUUUUAUAUAUUGUCUGUGCGAUUACAUGUCUUCUGUUUAUCAGAAGUUUCUGGAUUCGUUAUUACAUUUAACUAAGUCGUCAUAUAUGUUAGUAAAAUAUUGUAUUCGUGGCAGCGAUAUGAACAGGUGGCGUUUCCUGAGCUUGCCAAACUUGCAUUGUGGUUUGUGACUACGAUUCUUUAACAACUCCUCUGCGAUGAGUAUUUGACGUGCUUUAACAUCUCAUAUCUUUUGUUAUGUUUUGGAGGGAAGAAUGGAAGUGAACUUAUAGAAUUAAAAUAAAAUACUAAAUUAGAGAUAAUAGAGAAAUUUUAAAAAAAAGGUAGAUUUAAAAUUAUUAUGAUGAAAUUUUGAGAAGAAACUUGAUAUAAAGUAGAAUAAAGCAUUUGUUAAUUGAGAGUGUGAAUUUUCAUAUAAUUUUAUAAUUGGUUAAGGAAUAGAAUGAAUGAGAAAUAAAAAUUUUAAAUAAUUAUUCAUAACAUAAUCCAAAUUUGAUUUUCUAAAUUCAUUCAUCCCAAUUUCCAAUCAAAUAUAAUAUCGAUGAAUCUCAUUUUUGUGGACAAUUUAAUCUGUCUGCAGAGAAUAGUAGAUACGGUGGGAUCAACAGCAUUUGGUCCAUCUUUAUAUUCUUUCACUUUUCUUUAAGCCUAUUAAUCUAUAGAAGAUGCGCUCUAACAUUUUUUUGUCCAAUAAGAAUAAACAAAGCCGGUAUCGCAAUUGUUUUGUACAUCCAACUAUCCAAGUAUCCAACUCUCCACUGAUACUUACGGCUCUUUAUUUGCUUUAUUCUGAUUCAGUAAGCAGAGAAUAAAUAUAUGCUAUGUAUACUAAGGUUGUAUAUUAGAAGUGAUUUCUAGGUUCUAUAGUUGUGUGUAAUAUUUAUGUUAUGUUAUUAAUUCAUGUUUCUUAGCAUAUUAAAUUAAAUUUUUGUUUAUUCAUUAAUCAUGUGAUUAAUUUAAUUAAUUGUCAAUCAAUUCUUUUAUUAUGUGCUUCAUCCUACGACUGCACAAAACACCCUUAUUUCUGGCAAGCUCCUCUAAUUGAAAGAGAAUCCCAAACAGUUUUUAUUUUCGUGGCUUUUUAUUUAGUAGCUUACUUCUACGAAUUCAGCAUUGUUGAGAGUUUAAACCAAAUUCUUGAGAUCCUCACAUUUAGCAUUUAGACAGCUCAAUGACAAAAAAAACAGGAUGGAUCAGAAACUAUAUUAAAUUCGAGUAUAUUGAUACUUGGUUAUACUCACCUUGAUUUAAUUAUGUAUAUUGAAAUUAUAACCGAUUAUGCGGCUAAUUGUCAACAUAGACAAUGCUUAGAGUAUGUCUAAUUUAUAUUUACAAGCUGACAGCAACGUCCAACAACAACAUUUUUUUUUAUAUCUCUACAAUAUCUGUUUAUUUUUAAGAGUUAAUUGCAAUUGGCACCCCUUUAGUUUCAGCAUAAUGCGCAUUGCACCUAAUAGUUUUGGAAAAUACAUUUUGCAACCCCAGACUUUUAACCCGUAGCCACUUUGCGCCCUUUCCGUUAAUUUCUACCGUUACCGUUAACUUGUGCAGGGGCAAUGUGGGAAAUUUAAUUAUAUUUAAUUAAAAUCAGACCUUUAUUUAAAUUUUCUGACCAUCUAAGCGAUAUUUUUCGGAAAAACUUAAAGAACGAAAGUUGUAGAGGAUAAAAAGAUCUUUUUAGAACAAUAAGGUUCAAAAUUUAAAUAAUUAUUUAAAAAUGAUUGUUCAUUUUUACAAGAUUGCUAAUUUUUGAAUUUUUUUAGAAUAAUUAUAAAAAGAAUUACGAAAAUUUUGAACCUUAUAGUUCUAAGAAGAUCUUUUUAUUCUCUACAACUUUCGUUCUUUAAGCUUUUCCGAAAAAUAUCGUUUAGAUGGUAAGAUAAUUUAAAUAAAGGUCUAAUUUUAAUUAAAUAUAAUUAAAUUUCCCAAAAUGCCCCUGCAAAAGUUAACGGUAACGACAGAAAUUAACGGAAAUGGUGCAAAGUGUCUAUGGGUUAAAAGUCUGGGGUUGCAAAGUGUAUUUUUCAAAACUAUUAGGUGUAAUAUGCAUUAUGCUGAAAUUAAAGGGGUGCCAAUUGCAAUUAACUCUAUUUUUAAUGAUAGGAUAAAGCUAAGCUUUGAGGCUUCCAAAGGGCAAAAUUAAAUACAUUAAUCUUAUCCUCUGUUUGAUGAUCCGUUUGAUUCGGAUAAUAUAUAUGUUCACUUUAUUUUUCUUUUCGUUUUGAGGAUAAUGUUUUCUGAAUUAAUUUAUGUUUAAAUUUUAAAUAAUAUUAUAUAAUGUAUAGCUUAGAACUUACCGAGAAAGAUUGAUAAAAAAUAAAUAAUAAUACACUUUAUUUAUAACAAUCUAAAAUAAUAUAAUAAUAUACGAUUAAUUUUAAAACAUAAUCAAUAUAAUCAAUAACAAAUUUUAUGUAUGUACUCUUAUCCAAUUUAGUCACUAAUUUUAACUAAUCUCUCCAAUUACAUAAAUAUGGUUAACAUUUAAUGAAUAUGCAAUUAAAUUACGACAUAUAUUCCAUCGCGGAAGAAAUAAAGAAAGCAUAUUAUUACACUCUAAUGAGAUCUGUAACAUUCUUUAAUUGGUUGACCGUGCUCUAUUUGUUUGCAAUAUUGCAAUCACAGACAAUUUAUUAGUGCUGUUAUGCGGCUAAUUGUCGACAAAGGCCAUGUCUUGUAAACAUAAACAAUUUGAAUAGAAUUCAAAAUGUUCCGGGGGAUACUGCUCCCUAUUGUUGAGUGAUAUGACUAAAAGGAUAAAUAUCAAAUAAAUCACUUGUUUCAUCCAAAUGUAUCAAUUGAGUCACUGAUUCUCAAAUUGAUUCAAAUGAGACACUCAUUAGAAAAAUUUGUAUCAAAAAUAUCACUCUAUCGUUAGUCGAAAUUUUGAAAGUAUUAUAUAUCGAGUUUCGCACAUGUUUUAUGAAUAGUAUUUUAUCCAAAUGAAAGCUUCUGAAUUCUACUAUUUUCGCUAAUAUUUUCAGAUUUUUAAAAUUUUAUCAACUAUUUAUUUUUAAUUUUUUGAUUGUUUUAUUUGAUUUAAAUAAAAAAAAAUAGGAGAUAAACUUUUAAAAAUCUAAAAGUAUUAGCGAAAAUAGUAGACAUCAGAAUUUUUCAUUUGGAUGUAGUACCAUUCAUAAAAGAUGUGCGAAACUCAAUAUAUAAUACUUUCAAAAUUUCGACUAACGAUAGAGUGAUAUUUUUGAUACAAAUUUUUCUAAUGAGUGUCUCAUUUGAGUCAAUUUAGGAAUCAGUGACUCAAUUGAUACAUUUGGACGAAACGAGUAACCUACUUGAUAUUUAUCCCUAAACCUGAAUUAGGCUUUCUAAUAUAAUAUCAUGAUGUUAAAUCUAUACUAUUAUAUACUUAUAUAUAAUAAGCGUAAGGGAGAUAAUUUGGUCGCAUAGUCCUCUGGUCCAAAAGCUUAUCAUCCGUUGGAUCUUAUAUUGAACAAAUAAGCACCGUUAGAUUGGAAAAUUAACUUCUGUUCUACAAGACAACUGAUAUCACCUUGCAUAUUUAUAAUUCCUUUUCUGAAUCCAAAACAAAUUCUGUCUUUCACGUGUAUAUGAUUUUUUUAAUCCCAAAUAAAUAUUUCCUACCAGUUUUAUUCGUAGAAUCAUAUAAAUCUCACCGUCACAAUUUUUUUUAUAAUAUAUUUUAAAAUUAAUAAGCCGGAUUUAUGUGAUUAGCAAAUACAAAAACUUUUUCUUAAUCCAAAAUAGAUUCUACCUUCUUAUUGCAUGUUUAUGAUUCCUUUUCUUAAUUCAAAAACAAAUUAUGUUUAUCAAUUUUAAUUUAAAACCAUAUAAAUUUUUUGAAAAAUAUUUAAAUCAUAUUAUAUAUUUUUUUAUUUUUUUUUAACUUAGGAACCCGCAACCGCUACCCUUCGGGUCACGCAAGAGGAUACAUGUCCUCUCUUUGACCAGCUAAACCAACCCUUGCGGGCUAUUUAAAUCACACUAUAAUAAUUCUAAUAUAAAAUACAUUUAUAAAUAUAAUCUAAUAAGAGUUGGCAAUAACGUAUUCCACUCAAAAUAUAUUAAAAUUUGAUAGAAAGAAUUUAAUACUUUGGCAGGGUACAUACGAGAAAAGGAAUGGCUUCAUUACAAUAGUUUAUUUGAAGCCAUUAAUGGCUGUGAUGAUGUAUUUACCACAGUUCUAACUUACAAACAAAUUAUAAUUUCGAAUUUUAUUUUAUUGAAAAUUUUAAUUUAUUAUUUAUAAAUUAAAUUUCUUCACACCAUUUAAAAUAUAUUUAAGAAAUUUAUAAAUAAUUAAAAAGCUCCCGUGCCUUGCACGGGCUAUAAGCUAGUACUAUUAAAGCCGAAACAUUAAAAAUUUGGUCGGUCGGUACUUGGGCCAAAAUACGGGCAUAUCUAUAUAACUAAUUAUUCUUUUUAAUUUGGGUCAAAUUACGGGCCUAUCUAUAUAACCAAUUAAUAAUUCUUUUAAAAUUGUCGGUACUUGGGUCAAAAUACGAGCCUAUCUAUAUAACUAAUUAUUCUUUUUAAUUUGGGCCAAAUUACGGGCCUAUCUAUAUAACCAAUUAAUAAUUCUUUUAAAAUCGAAACAAUAAAAGUUUGGUAGGUCAGUGCUUGGGCCAAAAUACGGGUCUAUCUAUAUAACAAAUUAUUCUGGACCUAUCUAUAUAACCAAUUAUCUUUUUUAAUUGGUAAUCGAUAUAACCAAUUAAUCCUUUUAAUUGAAAUAUAUUACCUUUUUUAUAUUUCUAACUAAAAAACUUAAUCUUCUAAAAUAACAUUGAGAAACAUGGUAAUUACUUUUUUUAACUAAAAUAUAUUAUCUUUUCAUAAAUUUUCUAACUAAAAAAUUAAUCUUUUACAAUUAAUACGGACAUGGGCGACAUAUUUAUACGUAAAGAUGUGGGCCAAAAAUCUAAAUGUCAAAUAAUAAAAAAUAGAGGGAGUAUUAUUAUAUUGGUAGGGCGGUCGGUACUUGCACCGAAGUACGGGCCUAUCUAUAUAUAAAACCAAUUAUUCUUUUUAACUAAAAUAAAUUAACUUUAUAUAUUUAUUAGCUAAAAGAACUCAAUCUUCUAAAAUAAUAUCGAGCAACAUAGUAAUUGUCUUUUUAAUCAAAACACGUUAUCAUUUUUAGAUUUUCUAACUAAAAAAUCGAGUUUUUACAAUCAACACGGACGUCAUAUAUAUUAAAAUAUAAUAUCAUUAAAUAUAAUUAUUAAUAAAUAACAUGUCAUAUUAUUAAACCAAAAAUACAUUAAUAACAUUAUUUUUAAAUACUCUAAUGAUCUCACAUUAAAAGAAAUAUUACAAAUCUAUCAUAUACUAUAUAUUAUUACAAUAUUAAUAAAGCUGAAAUAAAAAGUUCACUUGGUCGGUCAGUUAGUAGAGUUGGUGAAUGGGUUGGUAUUCGACCCACGGAGCUCUUGAAUUUAUAACAUGUUAUAGUAUAUUUUUUAUCAUCUAUCAAACCAAAACAUUAAAUUCAAAUUAGUAUGAUGGGUCGGUAUUUGGUUUCAUGCGUCUCUUUAAACUAUAAUAUGUCUUAUACCAUAUUAUUAAUUAUUAAUAACGAAAUAUUAAAAAAGGUUGAUUGGUUAGUUUAUAUAUGAGUUUAUAGGCCUUCUUAAAUUAUAACAUGUAAAAAAAAAUAUUUUAACAUUCUCAUUAAAAUAUAUAUGUUCGACCUAAUAUUUAAUUAGCCAUUUGACGGACUUAACUAUGAAGAAUUUAUCCAACUGCUAAAUAAAAUAUUUAUUUAACCAUAUUAUUCUAUCAUAAUUUUAUUUUUACAAUAAAAUUAGAUAAAUUUAAGAUAUAUAAAAUAAAAUAACAAAUAUGUUAACCGCCCGUGCAUUGCACGGGUUAUAAGCUAGUAAUUUCUUUAAACGAGUAAGCCAUAUAAUGAAAUUACAUCAUUUUCUUAAAUAUCAAUAUCUACUGCUCAAAUAUCAAACUUAAGUGAGUUUUUCAUCCAUUCCAGUCUAAUCUAAUUUUUUUAAUCCAUUCCAAUUAAAGGAAGUUUGUAAGACUUGCGAGGACCUGCCAAACCAAACUCCCCGUGUCGAAAGUGGCAGGUGGCCAAAGGGAAUUGAUGAACCGAUACCAAUUAGCUCAAAAUAAUUUCUUUUCGGGCGUAAAUUUUUUUGGAUAUAUUCCUUUGCAGUUGAAUAUGUAAGAAAUAUUGACUCCAACAUAAAUUUUUGAAGCAAGACAAUAAUCAGAAAAGCAACAUAUAUUGAUCAUGUAAUACAAGGAAGAAAAUCACAAAUAUAAAGUGAAGCACUCCAUAUUUGCAUCCUUGAUUAUACUACGGUGAUUCGACAAUUAUAUUAUUUAUUUAGUUUCGUCUAGUUUUCGGCUUCAAAAGCAUCUCUCGCAUCUCAGCCGCAUCAACCUGAGAAGGAACGCCUUCAGGCCUGUAGUAGCCGGUGACAGGGUCCGGUCCCCAAGGCCUAUUCACCUGCGCCACCUCUUCUCCGCCCUUGUUCGACAUCAUGGCUCCGCCGCUCCUCACCACACUCCCGCUCGUCGACGCGUAUCCUCUCUUGCUCGCAACGCAUACUUGCUCUACGACGAAAGCAGAGAUGAGUUUCACGUUGCAUAGAGAUG